Molecule: ribosomal RNA, 468 nt
Filed under: uncultured bacterium
Lineage: Bacteria
Description: partial 16S ribosomal RNA
Rfam family: Bacterial small subunit ribosomal RNA
Source: RNAcentral
GACGAACGCUGGCGGCGUGCUUAACACAUGCAAGUCGAACGGAAAGGCCCUGCUUUUGUGGGGUGCUCGAGUGGCGAACGUGUGAGUAACACGUGAGUAACCUGCCCUUGACUUUGGGAUAACUUCAGGAAACUGGGGCUAAUACCGGAUAGGAGCUCCUGCUGCAUGGUGGGGGUUGGAAAGUUUCGGCGGUUGGGGAUGGACUCGCGGCUUAUCAGCUUGUUGGUGGGGUAGUGGCUUACCAAGGCUUUGACGGGUAGCCGGCCUGGGAGGGUGACCGGCAAAAUUGGGACUGAGAUACGGCCCAGACUCAUACGGGAGGCAGCAGUGGGGAAUAUUGCACAAUGGGCGGAAGCCUGAUGCAGCAACGCCGCGUGCGGGAUGACGGCCUUCGGGUUGUAAACCGCUUUCGCCUGUGACGAAGCGUGAGUGACGGUAAUGGGUAAAGAAGCACCGGCUAACUACGUG